Solea solea (common sole) is the source of this 1418-nucleotide long non-coding RNA. RefSeq lists it as uncharacterized. The transcript is spliced from 6 exons. Lineage: Eukaryota; Metazoa; Chordata; Actinopteri; Pleuronectiformes; Soleidae. The record is from RefSeq and is a predicted model, not a curated record.
UAAAGGAGACGCAUCAUAAUCGGGCCUAGUCUCACCCAAAGAAAUAUGCGGAUUGAUAUAGCUUUAAGAGGACGAGGUUUUGGGUCCUUGUCGUGGUUGAGUCACCCAGAGACUCAUCGGAGGCCGCCAAACCAUCCACGGACUCGGUUUGUCCAGCGGGAGAAGAAGGCGUAAAGGGCGCGUGUCAACUGCAGUGACCCCACCGGACUCACGGUCAUGCACCGGUGCUUCUGAGCGUGUUCUCCGAACCAGAGGAGCUGCAGCUGGCACAACACGCGAGUCUGAGAAUGCCACCCGCAUGGAAAAACCUGCAGGUCUACCUUGUGAACGCAGAGGAGCUGCAGGAUCACACUCCUGAAACUCGCCUGUCAUGCAAGAGAGGAGACAGGUGCUUUGGAAGGAAAUAGCAAAAUUGCAGAUCCAGAUGCAGCUCUCAGCGAUGACCCUCCAUUCAGUGACAACCCAGAUGACCUCAUGUAUCAGCCCAAGACAAAGAUGUAGCCUGAGCUAACUGCCCUUAGUCAUGAAUGCUUAUUUUACAAUACUUCCAGCAUGAUGAAUGUUGAAGUGAUAGUUUUUUGAUUUUUGAUUGGAACUCCAGGAAAAAAUCAAGGCAAAGUGUAUCACCACAAAAAUAAGUCACAAAAGAGGAGCCAGAGGAGACGAAAGAAAAUGGAAUCAAAGAGGAAGAAUCAAGUAAAAGUGUAACACAGAUUGAAGCUAGAGCGGGUUUAAGGCAGGGCAUUGACCUGUGUGAUCACCUGCUCUCUGACUAAAUCUGCUUCAACAUCUUUAAGGAAGUUAACAUUGCUGAUAUGUGUUUUGUUUCCCUAUGACAAAAAUAGGUUGAGUUAUGAAGGUCUGCCAUCCUGUCAGUUGUAACCAUGACAACGCCAAAUAUUUGUAAAGACACUGUCUGAAUUUUUGUGAUGAUAUAAAAUGGAUAUAUUCUUGAAAGAGUUUUUUUUUUAAUCUUUGACCCUUUUUUUCCAAGGUUUGAGGCUUGAUGAUGAUGUUGAAAUGAAAGGUUUCAAAGGUUCAUGUGACCUGUUAUGACAAACAUUAAUAUAUUUUGAACUCACUGACCCCAUUUCUGUCUUUAUUGCAGCAUCAUAUAAAAUACCAGCAUUUAAAAAAGCAGUAUGUGUAGAUGUGGAAGAUUGUUUCGUCUGCAAAAGCAGCUGUUGCGACAUGCAAAACACCACACAGGGACUACAUCUGUGAGUUUUGUGCUUGUGCCUUCAAGAGCUCCCAUAACCACACUGUACACAGAAUGAUUCAUACAGGAGAGAAACCUAUACAGUGUGAGAUCUGUGGCUUUACAUGUCGUCAGAAGGCCUCCUUGAACUGAAGAUAAAGGAGAACCAGGUAACUUCGAGUGACACACUGACUACACUGCAGCGGGUGGUGAACCCGCU